AUGAGUGAUGAUGCUAACACAGACUAUAAUUUUUUACACAAUAAUGACGUUAAAAUAAUGAUAGAAAACAACGAAAAGGAUAUAAACUCUUUUGUUCUUAAUAAAAAAAUGAACUUAACGCAAGAAAAAAAUGAAAAUAUUAAAAAAAAAAAAAAAUUAAUUUUAAAUCAUCCUGAUGUUUUUGUCAACAAUUCAAUUUUAUCAAAAGAAUUAAAAAAAAACAUACUUACAUACAAUGAAUUACUAUUUGGUGAUAUAAAUAAAAGUUAUGAACAAAUAACAGAUCUAUACAAUAGUAACAAUUUUAAACAAACUAUGGAGAAACUAAAAUAUAAUUGUAAUAAAUCUAUACAAACAAACAUCCAUUUAAAUCAUAUUUUUAAAAUACCUUUAUUAAUGUAUAUAUCUAAUGAAAAAAAAGACUUACAACAAUCUAUAAAAUAUAUUAAAAUCGGUUCUAAAAUAAAAACUUUCCUUUAUAAAUAUUAUUAUACUUCUAAUUUAAACAACGUACAAUCAAUAAAUUAUUUAAAAACGUAUGAACAACAGAUGAAUAAGGAAGUUAAAAAAACUAAAGAAUAUAUAAAUAAAACUAUUAUGAAAUGUGAAAAUAUACAAAACUUAAAACUAUAUUUGCAAUAUUUAUAUGAUAUAUUUCAUUAUUUUAAUUUGACGUAUGAUGGGUCAAACAUGAAGACAAAAAUGGGAGCUAGCGAAGAUAAAAAUGGGGUAACUAUGGANNNNNNNNNNGGGGUAACUAUGGAAGAUGGUAAAGAAAAAAAUGGGGUAACUAUGGACGAUGGUAAAAAAAAAAAUGGGGUAAAUAGUAUAAACGAGUUAACACAAACGUCAGCAAACGAAGAUGACAGAACCGAACAAACAAAAAUAGAACACGGAAAAAACACAUUUUUAAAAUUAAAACAUUAUAAUAUAUUAUCAUCUAUAAAAAAGGAACUUUUUUUUAAUGAAAAAGAAAAUUACAUAAGUGUUUACCAAAUUAUAAAUACAAUUUUAAAUAAAAUUGCACAAUUAACAAAAUUAUACGAAAUAUUAUUUAAUUCAGUUGAUACAUUAUUGUGUAAACAUAUAAUAUAUUUAUAUUACUUUGCGCUUAUGUUAAUAAAUAUUAAAAUAAUACAUAAAAAUAAUUUACUAUUAACAAAUAAUGACGGUAUUACUAACAAUGUUAAUGUAAAUGAUGAAAUAAAUAUAUUAAAUAAUUUUAAUAAUAGAGUACUUACACAAACGAGUAAUAAAAAUUGUUAUAAUGAUGAUUCUGUUAGGGGAGAUAAAUUGUUUGUAAAAGAUCAAGUGCGAGAUCAUGAAAAGGAAAAGGGAAAGGAAAAGGAAAAGGAAAAGGAAAAGAAAAAGGAAAAAGAAAAAGAAAAAGAAAAAGAAAAAGAAAAAGAAAAGGAAAAAGAAAAAAAAAAGGAAAAGCGUAACAUACCAAGUGAAAAAAAUAACGAAUCCAUUAGGGAGUACGGACAAAAGAGCAACGACAAAAAUGAAGAAAAAAAUAAAAAUAUAAAAAAAAAUAUUUCCACUAACAUUGCAACUACGAAAUAUCCAUUUUUAAAUUUAAAUGGUUGCAUAUUUAAUUAUAUAUACUACUAUGUUUUUUUCAAAGACAAGCAAAAAAAAAUUAUUUAUAACGAUUGUAAUAAGAAAAAAGAAAAUUGCAACAAUGUAAAUAAUAAUACUACUACGGAUGGUAUUAUGACAACGGUAAAAAACGAUAAAUAUUAUACACAUAAACAAAAUACAUAUUUACAAGAUAAGGCUACUAACAUGACACAUACCCAAAAUGCGUCUAUACAAAACCAUUUUAACUUGAUUAACUAUUUAUAUAAAGAAGAAUGCGAAAAAUAUAAAAUAGAAAAAAAGAAAAAGAAAAAAAAGUUUAUAUAUUUCAACCAUUAUACAUCGAUUCAAUAUUAUAUUCAAAAACAAAAAAUGAAAGAAACUGUUAUUAAUUUGAAUUAUUGUAGAAAAAAUUAUUUGCGUUUUUUUUUACUAAAUGGUAACAAUAGUGAAAAAAACAAUAAUAACAUGCAAAAAGGCAACAAUAAUAGCAACAAAAACUAUAUGGUAGGCCUUGAAAUAUCUACUUUAUUCGACAACUUAUUAAAUAAAAUAUUCAUAACAUACAUUUACGAGUUUCUUCAAAAGAAUAAUUAUUACUUUUUAAAAAACAUUUUAUUUUAUAAUGAUAACGAUGAAGGUAGUUAUAAUAACAGCAAUGACUAUAAUAACAACUCAAAUGACAUAAGUGCAAUUAGAACGUCUAUUAAAAAUCAAAAAAAAGAUUUACUGAUAAACGUUUUCGAAGUUCUAAAAUCAAAAAAAUAUGACAAUAAUGUGAGUGAGUAUGAUAAGGUACUAGGAACGGGUUCCACAAAUGUUGACCCAUAUGACAACACACCCAACCCAGACCAAACAAAACAUAUAUACAAAAGCUAUAAUAAAAAAUUAGAUUUAACAAAAAUUACAGAAAAAAUAAAACAUCCUUUUUUAGCUACCUAUUUUUACAACAUUAUUUUUAUUUUAAGACAUAUUAAACUAUAUAUUGAUAAAUCUUUAUUUUAUAUAAUAAUACAUUUAUUUGAAAAUUCGUUUACAAAUAUUAUUGAAAUAUUAACAAUGAAAGUAGUAACAAAUGCAAAUUUAUUUUUUAAAUAUUCUAUAUUUUAUUUUAUCAUUGAAAAUCUUUUUAAUAUUAUUUUCCCUUAUACAUUUUCAUUCCUUUCGUGCGCUUUCGAAAUGAGCCUUACAAAUUCAACGGAAAAAAUACUUAACGUUCUUAGUAACUUUUCUAUGUAACCAAUAAAAUAGGAACUGUUUUCUGUUUUUUUAAAUAG
RNAcentral lists this long non-coding RNA (2858 nucleotides) under Piliocolobus tephrosceles (Ugandan red Colobus). RNAcentral describes it as "lncRNA (ENSPTEG00000019543.1)". The record is from RNAcentral. Lineage: Eukaryota; Metazoa; Chordata; Mammalia; Primates; Cercopithecidae.